Molecule: long non-coding RNA, 330 nt
Filed under: Mytilus galloprovincialis (Mediterranean mussel)
Lineage: Eukaryota; Metazoa; Mollusca; Bivalvia; Mytilida; Mytilidae
Source: RNAcentral
UGAUUUUCUGUUCUAUUGCAUUAUUCGCAUAUUUACUGAUUUCAGCAAGGCAACAUGGCAGCUCCUUAGUUACGAAAUGUCAACUUUGGAUUUGACGGUAGCUUACGAGAAAAACAUGUAAAUCAAAAUGACAAUUGUUGGUUUUGAGAAUGAAACAGAUUUUUAUUUUAGCGGUUGUUCACGAAAUAAUCCAUGCAAGCUACGGAUUUAUUAGAAUGUUUGAGCUUUAUCUAACAGGGAGUAAAACAGAACAGCCACACACACAGCUUUUCCCACCCUCGCUUCAGUUUUUUAAUGAUCGUAUUUGUCCUAUUAGAAUCGAAAUAAUUC